This 485-nucleotide ribosomal RNA is filed under the name uncultured bacterium. Its description in RNAcentral is "partial 16S ribosomal RNA". It matches the Rfam family "Bacterial small subunit ribosomal RNA", at positions 28 to 523 of the family's 1533-position model. The record is from RNAcentral.
GACGAACGCUGGCGGCGUGCUUAACACAUGCAAGUCGAACGAUGAAGCCGGAGCUUGCUCUGGUGAAUUAGUGGCGAACGGGUGAGUAACACGUGAGUAACCUGCCCUUGACUCUGGGAUAACUGCUAGAAAUGGUAGCUAAUACCGGAUACGACCCUCGGAGGCAUCUCCAGGGGGUGGAAAGAAUUUCGGUCAAGGAGUGGACUCGCGGCCUAUCAGCUAGUUGGUGAGGUAACGGCCCACCAAGGCGACGACGGGUAGCCGGCCUGGGAGGGUGACCGGCCACACUGGGACUGAGACACGGCCCGGACUCGUACGGGAGGCAGCAGUGGGGAAUAUUGCACAAUGGGCGCAAGCCUGAUGCAGCAACGCCGCGUGAGGGAUGACGGCCUUCGGGUUGUAAACCUCUUUUAGUAGGGAAGAAGCGAAAGUGACGGUACCUGCAGAAAAAGCACCGGCUAACUACGUGCCAGCAGCCGCCGUAA